Molecule: ribosomal RNA, 319 nt
Filed under: uncultured Clostridium sp.
Lineage: Bacteria; Bacillati; Bacillota; Clostridia; Eubacteriales; Clostridiaceae
Description: partial 16S ribosomal RNA
Source: RNAcentral
GGAGUCUGGGCCGUGUCUCAGUCCCAAUGUGGCCGAUCAACCUCUCAGUUCGGCUACCGAUCGCGGUCUUGGUGAGCCGUUACCUCACCAACUAACUAAUCGGACGCGAGAUCAUCCUCAAGCGAAUAAAUCCUUUGGUCUUCAGAACAUGCGAUCCAAAGACGUUAUGCGGUAUUAGCACCGAUUUCUCGGUGUUAUUCCCCACUCGAGGGCAGAUUCCUCACGCGUUACUCACCCGUCCGCCACUAAGCUAUAAAAAGCAAGCUCCAUCAUAGCUCCGUUCGACUUGCAUGUGUUAGGCAUGCCGCCAGCGUUCAUC